UGAGGAAUAUUGGUCAAUGGACGAGAGUCUGAACCAGCCAAGUAGCGUGCAGGAUGACGGCCCUAUGGGUUGUAAACUGCUUUUGUUUGGGAAUAAUCGACAUUACGUGUAAUGUUUUGCAUGUACCAUUCGAAUAAGGACCGGCUAAUUCCGUGCCAGCAGCCGCGGUAAUACGGAAGGUCCAGGCGUUAUCCGGAUUUAUUGGGUUUAAAGGGAGUGUAGGCGGUUGGUUAAGCGUGUUGUGAAAUGUAGAUGCUCAACAUCUGACUUGCAGCGCGAACUGGCUGACUUGAGUACACACAACGUAGGCGGAAUUCAUGGUGUAGCGGUGAAAUGCUUAGAUAUCAUGAAGAACUCCGAUUGCGAAGGCAGCUUACGGGAGUGUUACUGACGCUAAAGCUCGAAGGUGCGGGUAUCGAACAGG
This 424-nucleotide ribosomal RNA is filed under the name Verrucomicrobiota bacterium. RNAcentral describes it as "Verrucomicrobia bacterium partial 16S ribosomal RNA". It matches the Rfam family "Bacterial small subunit ribosomal RNA", at positions 355 to 776 of the family's 1533-position model. The record is from RNAcentral. Lineage: Bacteria; Pseudomonadati; Verrucomicrobiota.